This 253-nucleotide ribosomal RNA is filed under the name uncultured bacterium. RNAcentral describes it as "partial 16S ribosomal RNA". It matches the Rfam family "Bacterial small subunit ribosomal RNA", at positions 524 to 776 of the family's 1533-position model. The record is from RNAcentral.
GACGGAGGAUGCAAGCGUUAUCCGGAAUGAUUGGGCGUAAAGCGCGCGCAGGCGGAUUUGUGUGUCAGGUGUGAAAUCUCGGGGCUCAACCCCGAACGUGCGCCUGAAACUGCAGAUCUAGAGUCUUGGAGGGGAUAGGGGAAUUUCACGUGUAGGAGUAAAAUCCGUAGAGAUGUGAAGGAACACCAGAGGCGAAGGCGCCUAUCUGGCCAAGUACUGACGCUGAGGCGCGAAAGCGUGGGGAGCAAACAGG